CAAGGAAAUGUGCAAGAACGACUAUUACGCGGGAGAUUUUCGUGGAAGAAGGAAACGUUUGCUGCAGUCUGCUGUGGCUGCCCAGGACUUGAAAGACGGGCUAUACUACGGGAAAUGGGAGCGAUUCUGGGGAGACCAGAGUGCCUGACUUCCGGCUGAGGAGGAGCACCCCCCGGACGCUAAGCAGGUGUCCACGCACCAAGCCCUCGCUCUCCUUCCUGCCUGGCGAACCAGAGGGCCACUCUCAAGCUGUCCUGGACAGACUCCAUUUGGGCAGUAGUGUAAUCCCAUGGCCAAAAGGGGGGUGACAACCUGCUUUUGAGAAACUCUAAAUUGAUCCCCAUCCCAGGCUGAACCCUAAACCUCCAGGCACCCCCAGAGCGGGUUAGCAGAUACCGUCACGUCUUCAGCUAGACCCUGUAGGCUUUCUUAGCUUCUCCUUUUGUGGCUAGGAGAUGCGUGGCACCUCGGCUUCUGGGUCUGUUUAGAUUGCCUAGAGACAGGCCUGAGACCUCCCACUUCUCCAGAACUCUCCAGAAGCACGAGGCAUUCUGUAGUCCAGUGCAAGUCCCAGGACUGGCGUUCAUGGAGCUUCCCGGAUGAGUCUUUCUGCCUCGAUGGAAGGCGCUUAUUCCAACUACUUCGGUGGUUCUGUAUUUUAGGCUGACAACAUGGACAUACAUGCACGUGGGCGUUCCACUGGCAGCCCACAUUCAACGUCUCGUGUCUUCCAACAGGCUCCUAUUCCAAGCGUUCCUACUUCUGGUAAUGGCGACACUGUCCCUCCAGUAACUCAAACUUCCCUUUCAAAGCCCGAGAAAGGAGAAGCCAUCGCGGAUCAGAGGAGGUCGCGUCCUGCCUGGGGAGACAACAUCUGAAGGAGGGAGGGCUCCUUUUCACGCUCAGUUCAUGGAGACUGAUGUGAGAGUUGCACCUGGAAGAAGUGUCCAGAUGGGGCAAAUGCUGAGAUGAAGAUGAACUGGCUAUUCCUCAGUCCCAGAAGGAUCCUCGUUCCAGAGCUCCAAUUCCGUGUGGCCAGCUGCUCAUGGCUUUGCAAACUGGAUCUACCACAGCCAGCGUUAACGAAGAGUCCAGAAGACAACUCAUUUUUCCUUCUGAAUUCAAGGUCUGCUACUUCGAAAUCGUCCUUGAACCCUCACGUGCCCUCACUUAAGUCUCCCGGCAUCCCCAGUGGCCAUGCCUUACAGACUCACGUCUCCACGGUCUAUCCUGCGGUCCCCUCGUCUCCAGUCUAACUGCUACUUUAGCACAGUUCAAGCCCUCAGCCUGGACCAGCAAUCUCCCAUCUCUAAUUCCUUCUGCACAUAGCUGCCAAUGAGAUAUUUCUGGAGACAUGUCUGAGCGUGUUACUGCCUCCCCUGGCUCACUUUUGCCUCCAGGACCAAAUGCAAGUCUCUGUUAGCGUUGGCACCUUCAUAAGUUGACGCCAACAUAUUUGUCUCGGCUUAUCAUAGCUGCAUUCUUUCCCUUCAUGGGACAUUCGGGGUCCAAGGAGCUUCUCAGCCCUUUUCAGGGCUGCUCCUCUUCAUACAUGCCAUUUACACAGCCCUUGACUCUCACCUGCUCCUGAGAAACUGUAGCCUAGGCAGCUGCCGCAGUCCAGCAAACCAUCCAAGCCGACGGGCUAAGCCAGGUUAAGGGUAGAGUUAUGGGGGCGUCUACGCCAAGCAUGUGCAGACUUAGCCCAGUGGAAUGGGAAGAUGAGAACAGUUUGUUCUAACAGCCAUGGAAGUGGCUCAAGCAGACCCUGAGGAGUACUUAGAGCUCGAUCAGACGCCAAAGAUGCCCCGGUGGAGCUGGGGAUCCGAGGUUACGUGUCCCUGGAACUGCCGCAGUCUUCAUCACUCCUUCCCUAUUCGCACAGGGUCUGCAGAGGACUUGAUGAAGUCACAGCUAGGGCCACCCUCCUGGACUCUAAACUCUAGCUAGGUGGCCCUGACUCCCUGACGAAGAAUUUGAGUUAGAAAAGCCGCCCCUGGAAAGCAAUAUCCCCACGUGAAUUUCACAAAUUGCCUUUCUUUACACGCCUAGCCCAAAUUAACGAUCUUCUGCCACUGAGAAGGACCCUGUAUCGCUAUCAAAGCUUCUCUCUUCAUCAUCACUGAAACCUGCACUUGUUAGCUUCACAGCUUUGUUUUAUUCCAAGAAUUCCCGGAGAAGAUGGAGCCUGUCCUGCAAAAAGUCCCAGAGACUUGGCAGCUGCAUUUCGGAAGUCUUCCUGUUUUCUCUAAAGUCCCCUCAAACAUUCAUGUCAUCACUGACGUCACUGGCCCAUUUGGGAGCGCGGAACGCAGUCUGCAACUUCUGGUGCGCUCUUUAGAGUGACGAUAUCAGCACCUUUCAAGCCCAGCUGCACAGCGUUGAUGUAGCUUCAGCCAGCUUGGUGUUGCUCAACCCCGACUCACUUGGGAGGAGAAAUGAUGGAUUUGGCCACGCAAAUGUGCUCCUUUUAACUCCGCUGGAAGCAAUACUCGAAGCACUAGAGAAGUCAGGUCGUGCUGUGGAAAUAAAGGGAUUGUCGUGUGAUUUGUUAACUCCCUU
Molecule: long non-coding RNA, 2562 nt
Organism: Monodelphis domestica (gray short-tailed opossum)
Lineage: Eukaryota; Metazoa; Chordata; Mammalia; Didelphimorphia; Didelphidae
Source: Ensembl